GCCGAGAUGGCGAAAUUGGUAGACGCGCCAGCUUCAGGUGCUGGUGGGGGUAACCCCGUGAAGGUUCAAGUCCUUUUCUCGGCA
Molecule: transfer RNA, 84 nt
Filed under: Thioploca sp.
Lineage: Bacteria; Pseudomonadati; Pseudomonadota; Gammaproteobacteria; Thiotrichales; Thiotrichaceae
Description: tRNA-Leu
Rfam family: tRNA
About the family: Transfer RNA (tRNA) molecules are approximately 80 nucleotides in length. Their secondary structure includes four short double-helical elements and three loops (D, anti-codon, and T loops).
Source: RNAcentral